UGCAGCCCCGUCAAAUUCAGUCCCUGCCUCCUCCGUGGCGGGGACUGGCCAGCCGGCUGCCACAGCAACUUCUGUGGGCCGUGAGCCCCGUGUCCCUUCCCGUGGGACCCCGGGGAUAAAAUCACACCACAGACAUCA
Small nucleolar RNA from Chroicocephalus ridibundus (black-headed gull), 138 nucleotides. RefSeq annotates it as small nucleolar RNA SNORA5. The record is from RefSeq and is a predicted model, not a curated record. NCBI's taxonomy places the organism in Eukaryota, Metazoa, Chordata, Aves, Charadriiformes, Laridae. The transcript has a single exon.